RNAcentral lists this ribosomal RNA (433 nucleotides) under uncultured bacterium. RNAcentral's name for it is "partial 16S ribosomal RNA". It matches the Rfam family "Bacterial small subunit ribosomal RNA", at positions 29 to 507 of the family's 1533-position model. The record is from RNAcentral.
AACGAACGCUGGCGGCAUGCCUAACACAUGCAAGUCGAACGAGACCUUCGGGUCUAGUGGCGCACGGGUGCGUAACGCGUGGGAACCUGCCCUUAGGUUCGGAAUAACUCCCCGAAAGGGGUGCUAAUACCGGAUAAUGUCUUCGGACCAAAGAUUUAUCGCCUUUGGAUGGGCCCGCGUUGGUUUAGCUAGUUGGUAGGGUAAAAGCCUACCAAGGCGACGAUCCAUAGCUGGUCUGAGAGGAUGAUCAGCCACACUGGGACUGAGACACGGCCCAGACUCCUACGGAAGGCAGCAGUGGGGAAUAUUGGACAAUGGGCGAAAGCCUGAUCCAGCAAUGCCGCGUGAGUGAUGAAGGCCUUAGGGUUGUAAAGCUCUUUUACCCGGGAUGAUAAUGACAGUACCGGGAGAAUAAGCUCCGGCUAACUCCGUG